Hemicordylus capensis (graceful crag lizard) is the source of this 242-nucleotide long non-coding RNA. RefSeq lists it as uncharacterized. The transcript has 2 exons. The record is from RefSeq and is a predicted model, not a curated record. NCBI's taxonomy places the organism in Eukaryota, Metazoa, Chordata, Lepidosauria, Squamata, Cordylidae.
GAGCUGUGGCGCCUGGAGUACAACACAGCCAAAGAAAGAUACAUUGUUGGAUAAACAGCUUCUCCUGAGCACUUCCCUUAUCUACAAGACUGCUUCGCAGCAAACUGGCUAGUUCAAUGAAAAAUGAAGAUACAGCAGGAGAUUAGAGAAGAACAGUGAGCAAAAAAUUCCUGGAGAGAGGGUCACUUCAUUGCAAAUGAUUUCACUUCUCUAGAUCUGCAUAAAUUACUAUUUUUAAGGCA